Molecule: long non-coding RNA, 1933 nt
Organism: Lolium rigidum
Lineage: Eukaryota; Viridiplantae; Streptophyta; Magnoliopsida; Poales; Poaceae
Exons: 2
Source: RefSeq, a predicted model, not a curated record
UUUAUAAAUUCUUUCUGAUAUGUAAGGUUAAUUGUCUAUUCACAAUUCAUGCUUAAUAUAUCAGUGUUACGUGGAAAUGCAAUUGCUACUUGCAUUGAAUUUUUUCUUGUUUGCGUUGUUAUGUUUCCUGCUGUCGAAAUGUGUACUGUGGGCAGACUAAAGAUGAGGAUGUCUACAAUAUGACUGACAAUGUUGGUUUCUAAUAGCAAAAAAGUCUGAAAAAAGCAGCUCAACAGAAUUCAUUCUGAGUGUUGUCCCGCUCCUCUCUAUCCUCCAGCUAUAAACAUGAGUCGUUCAGAUCUGCGAAAGAAGAGAAGGGGACGAAUCUAGGGGAAAAGUUUGGUGAAAAAGAAGAAUGAGGAUUUUGAGCCUGCUCCGCCGUUCCAUUUGGUUUAGCUUCCCAAAAUCAAAGGGACAGGUUCGAAUUUCACGAUCUAAUAAUUGCAUAAUUUAGUGCUCUUUUUUGGCUUUACUUGAGUGUUUUUGGCUGGAUAGUCCUUUUUGAUAGAUAAACAUACCAAUCCUAAUUCUGGACUGAAGCUUCAGGAUGUUUCUCUGCUUCCUAUUCAUAUGGGUAGAUUUUCUAUGUAGUUCCACCUUAAUAAUAGUUUGUAUGUUCCAAUAUAUAUUCCUGUUAGGUUCUUAGUUUUUAUGUUUAUACUACGAUGCUUUACUUAAUUACACCACAAUCAUGUACGGAACUAAAUAGUAUUUUGUUCCCCCUGCCCCCUCAAAUCAGGUUUGCAUAAAAAAUCGUUUUGUGUUCUUGAUCAAAUUAUUGCUACAUAUUACGAUAGCUAUGUGGUUUAAAAUAAAGAUACAAAAAUUACAUGCCCUUCCUUUAUUUACGUCUACGUUUCUAAAGCUUGACUAUAUAUGUUAGUCAAUACCUUAAACGACAUUGAAAUUUGUGUUACACUGUUAUGCUAUGUUGUUAGCAGUAAAAACAUCAGUGAGGUUUUAGAAAAAUUAUUUAGAAAUUUUACUGAUCAUAUGUUUACAAGCAUAUCCUAUAUAAUGGUUCUUCUCUAAUUUAAGUUUAAGCACUUCUAAUUCACUGCUUGGUGAACUGAAUUGAUCAAAGGAUGCAGAGUUAUCUUUUUUUCUUUAGGAACCCGCUAGCUAGAUUGGUUACUAUGCCUCUGGGAAGGUGAAAUAGUAAGGUUUUGAAUGAUUAUGACCCCACCUCUUAUCAUCCUAUUUCUUCUAGAUUAAUUAUUGUUUUUGAAUUUAUCUACAUGUGAGCAUAACAACUAUGCACUGUGCAUAGGGCUGUAUCAUCUUUUGUUACAUUGGAUAAAUCGUCUCGAAACAAAAUACAUUCAAUGAGUCUCUGUACUGUAGUGAGCUCAUCCAAUCUGCGAUCAGUGUCUUGAUCCAAGCUUCUCUAGCAUGAAUACUGCUCUAGGUCUUGUACAUAUACCAUAAUUUGCAGGCAGACAGUCAGACGGAAUAUAGCCCCAUUCAUCAUACAAUGUUGAUACUCAAUACACAAUAAGCUUGGAAAUAAUAAAUUGGGUAAGAAUGCUAAUCUUUUCGUUUUUCUUUAAAUUUGUUCUACUCAUUUCCUGUUGUAGGUUCAUGAAUCAUGAGUAUCAUAGGCAGGGCUGACUACAUCAUCUUUUGCCUUGUAUCAGGUCGUUUGGUCAUCUUUGUUCUUCACACAGAUAUGCACAGGCAGAGCACAACAGCAUUCCAAACCGAGGCUGCUCAGCAUGUUUUGGUGUCCAUCAGAUUCCUUCUUUUUUCAUGUUUACUGUUGGCAUUAGCAUUUGUUUCAAGUGAUGUUUAUUCUCGUAUUUGUAAAGCAUUGAUUCAUUCAGUUCAGUAGCACCCAGCCUGAUGUAAUGUUUCUGAUUCUUGUGAACUGUUGUGCACCUACCUACCUGAUGAAUUACUAAGAGGCGUUGGUGCCAAAACAGUUGGAAAAUUC